ACUGUAAAAAAAUGUAGGUCAAUAUGUUUAUUUCAAUAUUAAUUUCUUAAUUAAAAAAUAGAUCAUCUACUUUAAAAUAGAUCAAAGCACAAACCAAAAUAUAAAUCUCAUGAUAUUGUGAAUAUCAAGACUAACAGUAUAUAGGAAACAUAUAAAGGAGGUUAUCAUCUACUUUGCAAGCCAGUUAUCAACGUGCAAAACUUUCAGUAUUCUUUCUAAAACGAUGUCCAAUUAACUCAAAUUCUUGUAAUGAUGGCAAAAGAAAUACUUGUUUUGAUGAUAAAUCAAACUUGCUAAAUAACAAAAUGCAGCAAUUCUGUUUGGCUUGGAAAAUAAGUGAUACAAAUGCCGCUUUCCAUACACCAUAAGGAAUUUAAAGCCUUCUACCCCUUCUACCACUCUUUCUACGGGUGCUGUCCGAGGGAAUGGGAGUAACAUCCUCUGAAAAACCAAUAUACAGAUGAAAUCCAUCAGAUAGUAGUAUUACAAAAAACAAUAAAAAUAUACAAUGAAAUACAUCCCCUCACAAUAAAUAACUACCAGUUUCAGACCAAUUAGCUACUACACACUAAAGAGGUGUUAAUAAGUACUAGAUUCUUUUUCUUUUAUUCCCUCGAAAGUGAGAAUCACAAACAUUUAUCGUAUGAUUUAUUUUCUGACUGUAAAAAAAUGUAGGUCAAUAUGUUUAUUUCAAUAUUAAUUUCUUAAUUAAAAAAUAGAUCAUCUACUUUAAAAUAGAUCAAAGCACAAACCAAAAUAUAAAUCUCAUGAUAUUGUGAAUAUCAAGACUAACAGUAUAUAGGAAACAUAUAAAGGAGGUUAUCAUCUACUUUGCAAGCCAGUUAUCAACGUGCAAAACUUUCAGUAUUCUUUCUAAAACGAUGUCCAAUUAACUCAAAUUCUUGUAAUGAUGGCAAAAGAAAUACUUGUUUUGAUGAUAAAUCAAACUUGCUAAAUAACAAAAUGC
Molecule: long non-coding RNA, 967 nt
Filed under: Cicer arietinum (chickpea)
Lineage: Eukaryota; Viridiplantae; Streptophyta; Magnoliopsida; Fabales; Fabaceae
Description: long non-coding RNA (CARI_LNC000028)
Source: RNAcentral